This is a non-coding RNA of Solanum lycopersicum (tomato), 4270 nucleotides long. NCBI's taxonomy places the organism in Eukaryota, Viridiplantae, Streptophyta, Magnoliopsida, Solanales, Solanaceae. The record is from RefSeq and is a predicted model, not a curated record.
UUCAAUUACUAAUUGUCCAAAAAAAAGAAUUCAUAAAAACUCGUACCUUUUUCCCCAAAUCAAAAUAGGAGAUGCUCAACAAAUUCACUUAGACAAAAAAACCCUAUUUCCUUCUCCUUCAAAUUUCAUCUGAUAAAUUCUCAACUGUAACUUUAUCUGGUUCUUCUUUUUACAGGCCUUAUUGUUACUAUACGUUUCUCUGUUGUUCUUCUACGCCUUUCUUUGCGAAAUUGCAUAAACAGUUGAGAGACUUUUGACAUUGUUUGGAUGAGAUAACGGAACUGGCUAUGGGUUGUUUUCCGUCGCAACUAUGUCCUAAACUCGGGGCAUGUAUAUUCUUCAUUGGCCGCAAUUCUCUAUCCAAAUAUAACAUCACUCGCUGCUCUCUGCUCGAUAUAGAAUCAUAGAUCAGGUACAAAUGAAUGAAGCAACCCUCAAAUCUGUUACAAGAUUGACAAUGGCAGUAAGGAAUGGUUAUAUGGCAUUUAAUGUUGUAUAACAAAUAAAACAAGAUGGAGUAACCCCAAAUUACGGUCGUAUGGUCCUGCCUUAUCUGUAUUCUGCAAUAAGGGGGAUGCCGACAAGGCAUUUAUAUUUAACAACACAUGUUGGAGAAUGGUAGCUAUUCAGAGGAACUUGAGCUGGAGGCACUUUAAAAAAUUUGAUUGACAAGUAAUUCAACAAGAAGGUAGUUUCAAGGGUGGAAAAAAUCAAAUGGGAUGUAAGAUCCAUACGUAAAGCUAUUAAAAAGGGAGGUUGUGCCUGCAAUGGACAAAGCUGGUUGGUUGAUGGAAAAUGGACUGUAUCAAGUGCAAUCGUUGGCCUUGAUGGCUGCUGCAAAUGCUUUGCUGAGAAGUUUGUGACCAUUGAUCUUAAUCCUGAAGAACCUGAAAUAUUUCCUAAGUCAGUUGCUUCUAUAACUGUGCAGAGAGUGAAAGAAAUUCAAGCUUCCAAAAAUUUAAAAGAUGCUUAAUUAAUAUGGACCAUUUGAUGUUGUUAUUGAUGGUGCAAAUGUUGGUCUUUACAGACAAACAUAGUUCAGGCCAUAAGUGGGAAAUGAACUUGUUUCCUCAUGUAGUGGCUGCAUGCAGUAAUGAAAUAUUCGGUGCUUGCUUGUGACCUAUGAUGAGAUGAGGGACGAUUUGAUUCAACUUCUGGAAAAUGAAUUUUUCCCAAAAUGGAAGGAAAGGAAUCAGGAUUCAGAAGGAUACUCACAUGUACCUAUUGCUUUAGAACAUGAAUCUGAAGUGGAAAUGACAUGGUUAUGCAUCACACGUGCAAAUUAACCUAUGGAAAUCGAGAUUGUCGAGUGUAAACAUAUGGUUCCAGGAUAACGAAUUAUAGAAAAGGACGUAAGUUCCUUGCAGUAUUCAACAACGAGGUACACAAAAACUGUAAAUACAAGAAAACACUAUCAAGCUUUGAAAACAUAGUACUUAUUCUGUAAGGCCAUUGAAGAGGACUUUUGAAGGUGAAUUGGUUCGGGCCGUUUAAGUUAGGUCAUUUGCAAGACUACUUGGAUAUUCCUCAAGUGUUCGGUAGGUCCUCACCAUCCAAGGAAUAUACCACUACCUAGCUACUUUUUAUCAUCUAAAGUCAUUUAGUUUCCUUCUCUUCAUUUGAAGACUUGACUUUUGUUUUAAAGAAGUAUGGGCUAUGCCCGAAUGUUCUCCUCAUUCUAUAUGGUUUAAAUGUGAGAUGAUAUAUUAGACUAAAUUCAUAUAAUUUAAAUAUGUUGUAUAAACGAGAAUCCUAUGUAUGCUUCCUAUGCGAGGAGUCUAAGUAAAUUCUGUAUGUAUAUAUGUUUAGUAAGCGAGAGGUCUAUAAAAACCUCAAUAUGUAAGAAAUUUUUAAUUUUUAAUGCAUUUUAACAUAUGAAGUGUUUCACGAAUGCUAAUAGGCUAGUCUUAGUCCUCUCCGAGGAUGAUAACACCGAUUGCAUCUAGGGGGUGCUCCCUGGUCGUGAUAGGAGCAAAUAGGCUCUCCCAUGUUUGGCUUGAUUUUAUGUUGCAAGGAUGCUUUAUCAUGAUAACUUGACUUGAUUUGUCCAAGGCUUUCGGGGAAAGCCCUAUACACUUCUAAUGGUAACUUGAUUUGCAUGCAAGGUGCAUUUCAUGGAAUAGCUGAUAUUGGUUUCUCGUGGUAUCUUAAGGUUGAGGAUUCAUUCUUCCCUAUGGAUUAGCUUGCAUCUACAUGAUUGGUUGCAUGGUGGUUAGGUUGGUACUAUUGUAUCCUUUAUUUGUUAUCUUGGUUUGUAUGGUCUGAUGCUUUACAUGGUAUUCGGUCUAUUAUGUUAAGAUGUUAAGUUUAAUAGAAAAGAACAAAAGAUAAGUUAGCUUGGAGUAGGAUAUUUUAAAGAAGUACUUAGUAUGCAUGGUAGUAUGGGAUGUCAUUCAUACAUGGUACAAGUAUGAACUUAAGCUACCUAUGGCAUGACCCCUGCAUGAUGUAUGCUUAGCUUGGGUAAUGACUAUAGUUGCUCCCGGUGACAUGAUUGACUUAAGAUGGUUGUUCCUUGUCAAUAUGAAGUAGGUCUUCUAGUGACAUCUAAAGUUGAUGACACGGAAUAGGGUGACUCAAGAUAUGCUUAGUGUUUGAGGUAGAAUGGGAUUCCUCACAUGCAUUACACAAGUGUAAUUUGAGGUGAUCUAUGGGAAUAGUGGUCAUAUGUUAUGAACAACUUAGGUCUUAAUUAUGAGAGUGUAUUAUGAUCAAGAAUGACCAAAGAGUGACACUAAACUCUGGUAGUAGUAUGGGAUGCUACCCUGACAUUGCACAAGUAAACUUGGGGUGGCUUGUUAAGUAGUUCACUUGAGUAAGAAAGACAAAUGAUUUAAGUAUGAACUAUUGUAUGCUUUAUGAUGAUUUAUUAUUCUUAUGAUAUCGAUGUUAUGCUUAUGCUUUUAUCACUUCUGAUUAUGUCCUUUUUUGACUAACCCUUUGAGAUAUCUUAUGUUUGGUAAUAUAGUUCUCAUACAUGGUACAUUUGUACUAACGCAUAUUUUGUCUACAUUCUUAUCAAAUGUUGGGUGUUGAGAAGAUUGACUUACUUUGAAGGGUAGAGUUUCCAAUGCUUUCAAGAUGUGAUGAUUGUUGAGUCCUCAUAGCAUCUGACGGCAUCACCGUAUGUUGUCUUUUAUGUUCUUUACUAUGUUUAGUCUUUUAUGGGUUGUGACCCAAAAAAUUUGUACUCGUGUUUUGAUAGAUGGUUUUUAAGACAUACGUUAGAAAGGAUUCCGUUUUAUGAAAUUAUUCUGCAUCUUUAUGUUUUUUGGUAAACAUUUUAAUUCCGUUCUACUUUUCAUAUAUAUGCAAUGAAAGUUGUCUAGGGGAUUGUACAAGACCUCCGAGAGGUGAAGUACGCCAAUGAAAUUUAGCAAUGCAGGUAAAAUUUGAUGCUCUUGUUAGCAACCAUACUUCAGAUUGGUUCCAUGUGACUCUUCCAAAAACAUGGUUGAUUGGAAGUGGUUAUUCUCAAUUAAACAUAAACAUGAGGUCCUAUUGAUAGGUGCAAGGCUUGUUUGGUUGCCAUGGAAUUUACACACCACCCCAAACUUUAUCAUCAUUCCCCUUUCAAUCUAGUAGUCAAGCAGGCUAUUAUCCGUCUCAUAAUAACUACCGCCAUUCAACUUCAUUGGCAUGUCCAUUAUCUGGAUGUUAACAAUUCCUUCUUGCAGGGUAUUCUAACUAAAGAAGUUUACAAGCGACACCCAAUGGGAUUUGAAAACUCUGGGCGUCCUAUGCAUGUAUGUUGUCUUCAAAAGGCAAUUUAUCGCCUUAAAUAGUCUCUUAGUGCUUGGUACUCCAAACUAAAAAAAUAUCUCCUUACUUUAGGUUUUGUUAAGUCGCACUCUAAUUCGUCACUCUUCAUUAUGCAUAAAUCUAGGCUUAUUAUGUAUAUUUUAGCUUAUGUGGAUGAUAUCUUAGUGAUAUGCAAUCACAAAUGAGGUGUUCAUUCUAUCACUAAGGGUCUUUGUCAACGUUUUUCACUGAAAGACUUAGGACCUUGUCAUUACUUUCUUGGAAUUUAGGUGAUUCGUUUUUCUGCUGGUCUUAUGAUCUCUCAAGAGAAGUACAUUAUGGAUCUCCUUCAUGAGGUAGUUAUGUAUAACUGCAAAGGAUGCAUGUUGGCAACCAUCGGAGUGCUUCAAGCUUUGGCUUCCAACUUUUGUAUGUCUACAAGUAGGUCAAGAAUAGAGACAUAAAGAGUUCCUUUCUUGCUUCUAUUAACUUCUACUCCCAAAAUGUAUCGUAUGUGUCCUAAGUCAUU